RNAcentral lists this ribosomal RNA (253 nucleotides) under uncultured bacterium. RNAcentral describes it as "partial 16S ribosomal RNA". It matches the Rfam family "Bacterial small subunit ribosomal RNA", at positions 524 to 776 of the family's 1533-position model. The record is from RNAcentral.
UACAGAGGGGGCAAGCGUUGUUCGGAAUUACUGGGCGUAAAGGGUUCGUAGGUGGCCAACUCAGUCAGACGUGAAAUCCCUCAGCUUAACUGGGGAACUGCGUCUGAUACUGGAUGGCUCGAGUGCAGGAGAGGAACGCGGAAUUCCAGGUGUAGCGGUGAAAUGCGUAGAUAUCUGGAGGAACACCGGUGGCGAAGGCGGCGUUCUGGACUGUAACUGACACUGAGGAACGAAAGCCAGGGGAGCAAACGGG